CCUACGGGCGGCAGCAGUGAGGAAUAUUGGUCAAUGGGCGGAAGCCUGAACCAGCCACGUCGCGUGCAGGAUGACGGCCCUAUGGGUUGUAAACUGCUUUUAUACGGGAAUAACGCGCCUUACGUGUAGGGCUUUGCAUGUACCGUAUGAAUAAGGACCGGCGAAUUCCGUGCCAGCAGCCGCGGUAAUUCGGAAGGUCCGGGCGUUAUCCGGAUUUAUGGGGUUUAAAGGGAGCGUAGGCCGCACGUCAAGCGUGCUGUGAAAUGUCCGGGCUCAACCCGGGCCUUGCAGCGCGAACGGGCGUGCUUGGGGCAGCAGAAGGCAGGCGAAAUUCGUGGUGUAGCGGUGAAAGGCGUAGAUGUGA
This 364-nucleotide ribosomal RNA is filed under the name uncultured bacterium. RNAcentral describes it as "partial 16S ribosomal RNA". It matches the Rfam family "Bacterial small subunit ribosomal RNA", at positions 338 to 699 of the family's 1533-position model. The record is from RNAcentral.